UUUUGGCUGAGGGGAACUGAACUGCUCUGUCACCCCUAAGGGCCCUUUGCGGCAUGACAACAGGAGGAACUUCAUAAUGCUGCUGCGCACAGAGGAGAAUAUGAAAUGUGUCAUGGCCCAAUGCACCCGCCCAGCAGCAAGUGUACCCUGGUACAGGCCAGCAGGAGCUUCUCUGUCCUCAAAAUUAUUGCUUAUUUGGUUAAAAAAUGGUACCGAGAGACAGGCACUGAAGGUUCAAAGGCUCUGAACAUCAGAACCAGACAACCCAAACCCCUCUUGUAGCCUCUGCAGAGAGCCAGAUGUUUCAAAAGUACAUCACUUCCCAUCCUAAGUGCAACAGCUAAAGCUGUUCAUGCCAGUUGUGCCCUAGUAGUGCCUCUUUUCUUCCAAAAACAAAUAUGUUAUAUUAACAUAUAACAAUUAACAUUUACUGUGUUACAUAACAGAUAACAUUUAC
Molecule: long non-coding RNA, 457 nt
Organism: Hirundo rustica (Barn swallow)
Lineage: Eukaryota; Metazoa; Chordata; Aves; Passeriformes; Hirundinidae
Exons: 2
Source: RefSeq, a predicted model, not a curated record